ACCCGCUGAACUUAAGCAUAUCAAUAAGCGGAGGAAAAGAAACCAACAGGGAUUGCCCUAGUAACGGCGAGUGAAGCGGCAACAGCUCAAAUUUGAAAUCUGGCGUCUUUGGCGUCCGAGUUGUAAUUUGCAGAGGGCGCUUUGGCAUUGGCAGCGGUCCAAGUUCCUUGGAACAGGACGUCACAGAGGGUGAGAAUCCCGUACGUGGUCGCUAGCCUUUACCGUGUAAGGCCCCUUCGACGAGUCGAGUUGUUUGGGAAUGCAGCUCUAAAUGGGAGGUAAAUUUCUUCUAAAGCUAAAUACUGGCCAGAGACCGAUAGCGCACAAGUAGAGUGAUCGAAAGAUGAAAAGCACUUUGGAAAGAGAGUUAAAAAGCACGUGAAAUUGUUGAAAGGGAAGCGCUUGCAGCCAGACUUGCCUGUAGUUGCUCAUCCGGGUUUUUACCCGGUGCACUCUUCUAUAGGCAGGCCAGCAUCAGUUUGGGCGGUUGGAUAAAGGUCUCUGUCAUGUACCUCUCUUCGGGGAGAACUUAUAGGGGAGACGACAUGCAACCAGCCCGGACUGAGGUCCGCGCAUCUGCUAGGAUGCUGGCGUAAUGGCUGU
Molecule: ribosomal RNA, 603 nt
Filed under: uncultured fungus
Lineage: Eukaryota; Fungi
Description: eukaryotic LSU rRNA
Rfam family: Eukaryotic large subunit ribosomal RNA
Source: RNAcentral